GACGAACGCUGGCGGCGUGCUUAACACAUGCAAGUCGAACGGGUCUGCCCUGUUUUUUGCGGGGUGGGUCAGUGGCGAACGGGUGAGUAACACGUGAGUAACCUGCCCCUCACUUCUGGAUAACCGCUUGAAAGGGUGGCUAAUACGGGGUGUUCUGGCUGUGCCGCAUGGUGUGGCUGGGAAAGAUUCACUUUUGUGGUGUUUUGGUGGGGGAUGGGCUCGCGGCCGAUAGGCUUGUUGGGGGGGGGAUGGCCUGCCAAGGCUUUGACGGGUAGCCGGCCUGAGAGGGUGGGCGGUCACACUGGGACUGAGAUACGGCCCAGACUCCUGCGGGAGGCAGCAGUGGGGGGUAUUGCACAAUGGGCGGAAGCCUGAUGCAGCGACGUCGCGUGAGGGAUGGAGGCCUUCGGGUUGUGAACCUCUUUCGCCGGUGAAGAAGGUCCUGCUCUUUGUGGUGGGGUUGACGGUAGCCGGGUUAUGAAGCGCCGGCUAACUACGUG
This 500-nucleotide ribosomal RNA is filed under the name uncultured bacterium. RNAcentral describes it as "partial 16S ribosomal RNA". It matches the Rfam family "Bacterial small subunit ribosomal RNA", at positions 28 to 507 of the family's 1533-position model. The record is from RNAcentral.